UGCUGGUCUGAUGGUAAUAUGUUAUCAGAACUUAUUAACAUUAGUGUCACUAAAGUUGGUAUACAACCCCCAGCUGCUAAAUUGGACUGGCUUUGA
RNAcentral lists this non-coding RNA (96 nucleotides) under Microcebus murinus (gray mouse lemur). The record is from RNAcentral. Lineage: Eukaryota; Metazoa; Chordata; Mammalia; Primates; Cheirogaleidae.